GAUGAACGCUGGCGGCGUGCCUAAUACAUGCAAGUCGAGCGAACAGACGAGGAGCUUGCUCCUCUGACGUUAGCGGCGGACGGGUGAGUAGCACGUGGAUAACCUACCUAUAAGACUGGGAUAACUUCGGGAACCCGGAGCUAAUACCGGAUAAUAUAUUGAACCGCAUGGUUCAAUAGUGAAAGACGGUUUUGCUGUCACUUAUAGAUGGAUCCGCGCCGCAUUAGCUAGUUGGUAAGGUAACGGCUUACCAAGGCAACGAUGCGUAGCCGACCUGAGAGGGUGAUCGGCCACACUGGAACUGAGACACGGUCCAGACUCCUACGGGAGGCAGCAGUAGGGAAUCUUCCGCAAUGGGCGAAAGCCUGACGGAGCAACGCCGCGUGAGUGAUGAAGGUCUUCGGAUCGUAAAACUCUGUUAUUAGGGAAGAACAAAUGUGUAAGUAACUAUGCACGUCUUGACGGUACCUAAUCAGAAAGCCACGGCUAACUACGUG
Molecule: ribosomal RNA, 497 nt
Filed under: uncultured bacterium
Lineage: Bacteria
Description: partial 16S ribosomal RNA
Rfam family: Bacterial small subunit ribosomal RNA
Source: RNAcentral